Molecule: ribosomal RNA, 498 nt
Filed under: uncultured bacterium
Lineage: Bacteria
Description: partial 16S ribosomal RNA
Rfam family: Bacterial small subunit ribosomal RNA
Source: RNAcentral
GCCUCCCUCUUUCUUCGUGCCUAAUACAUGCAAGUCGAGCGGACGAAUCGAAAGCUUGCUUUUGAUUCGUUAGCGGCGGACGGGUGAGUAACACGUGGGCAACCUGCCCUGUAGACGGGGAUAACACCGAGAAAUCGGUGCUAAUACCGGAUAACACGAAAUGUCGCAUGACGUUUCGUUGAAAGACGGCGCAAGCUGUCGCUACAGGAUGGGCCCGCGGCGCAUUAGCUAGUUGGUGAGGUAACGGCUCACCAAGGCGACGAUGCGUAGCCGACCUGAGAGGGUGAUCGGCCACACUGGGACUGAGACACGGCCCAGACUCCUACGGGAGGCAGCAGUAGGGAAUCUUCCGCAAUGGACGAAAGUCUGACGGAGCAACGCCGCGUGAGCGAAGAAGGCCUUCGGGUCGUAAAGCUCUGUUGUUAGGGAAGAACAAGUAACGCAGUAACUGGCGUUACCGUGACGGUACCUAACGAGAAAGCCACGGCUAACUACGUG